This 665-nucleotide long non-coding RNA is filed under the name Gallus gallus (chicken). The record is from RNAcentral. Lineage: Eukaryota; Metazoa; Chordata; Aves; Galliformes; Phasianidae.
UGUGGGUUUUCUCUGCUUGUAGCAGUCCCAACAUACAGGAAACGUACAAUUAAAAGCACUCGAAAGGAAGUCAAGCUGGGGAAGAGCCUCCUUGGGUACGCAGAACAAAGUCACAGUGCCCACGGGAAGGCAGUGCCGUGUGAUGAGGAGCUGCGCCAGGGCUGGAGAAAGCCUGAGUCCUGCUGCAUCCCGAAGGAAGCAGAGAUGAUGGGCUUGUGUGACUUCAAGCAUAAGAAACAACUGCUUCUGAAAGGAAAUUUCUUUUGCAAUGCCUCCAAAAGUGACAUCCAUUGAAAAAGUCUCACCUCUCUAAGCAGGCACUGUACAUAUUCAACUGAAGAGAGCCUUACAGAUUUGUUCCUGCUAAGAAGCUAGCGUGACGUUACCACAGUGUUGCUCCGUCAGCGGGCAGUGGCACAUAGCAGGCAUGGACCCAGGCAUGCAGUACAGCCAGCACACAGCCCUGCCGAGAGCCCACCAUGCACAUCUCUGCCUUGCUUCACCACUUUGGCCCAAGCUCCUGAGCCAAUGUCUCUGUCCCACAUUCAGCUCCAAGCAUUCUGAAGAAUGUCGAGGAGCAGAGUGUGAGUGGCUGUGAAAUUAAGCUGGGACUCAGGAGAGCAGUCUAUAAUUGUCACAAGGUUCCUGUGCGGCCAUUGCAAGGU